AACCUUAUGGACCUGCGGGCGUAUACCUGCGGAGGGAUCAUUACCGAGUUUACAACUCCCAAACCCCUGUGAACAUACCUAUACGUUGCCUCGGCGGAUCAGCCCGCGCCCCGUAAAAAGGGACAGCCCGCCCGAGGACCCCUAAACUCUGUUUUUAGUGGAACUUCUGAGUAAAACAAACAAAUAAAUCAAAACUUUUAACAACGGAUCU
RNAcentral lists this unclassified non-coding RNA (211 nucleotides) under soil metagenome. RNAcentral's name for it is "partial contains 5.8S ribosomal RNA, internal transcribed spacer 2, and large subunit ribosomal RNA". The record is from RNAcentral.